AUGACUUUAAUCACCAUCUUCAUCUGGAUGAUCAUCACCUGCACCUCGGACUCUUUAGGGCAAGUUGUGCUGACACAGUCUGGAGAUCAGACAGUGCAGCCUGAUCAAACUGUCACUAUUACCUGUAAACAUGAUCCAGAGGUUAAUUGUGUGAAUAAUCAAGAAGAAGAAAAGAUCUGUAUGUCCUGGUAUCAUCAGAUUCCUGGAGAAGCUCCUAAACUCCUGAUAUAUUAUACUGAUGUUAGAGCUUCUGGAGUUUCCUCUAGAUUCAGUGGCAGUGAGAGUGGAAACCACAUUGACUUCACUCUGACUAUCAGUAAAGUCCAGCCUGAAGAUUCAGGAGUUUAUUACUGUCAGAGUGAACAUGACACUGGAAACAGUAACACACAGUGA
Non-coding RNA from Colossoma macropomum (tambaqui), 393 nucleotides. NCBI's taxonomy places the organism in Eukaryota, Metazoa, Chordata, Actinopteri, Characiformes, Serrasalmidae. The record is from the annotation of a RefSeq genome assembly.